This is a long non-coding RNA of Parus major (Great Tit), 818 nucleotides long. RefSeq lists it as uncharacterized. The record is from RefSeq and is a predicted model, not a curated record. Lineage: Eukaryota; Metazoa; Chordata; Aves; Passeriformes; Paridae. The transcript has 3 exons.
AACAGUGACAGCUUCAAGCAACAGGCUGAAUGCAAAGAGCUUUUCCAACUCCAGACACUGCUAGAAGCCUCUCCUUCUCAGGUCAGGACCAACAAGGCAGUAAACCCUUGGAAAUUCAAAGCACAGCUCAGCCAGGCUCUGUCAUCUAUGGAACACACAUGGAGCUCUGAAGAUUAAAUGAUAAAACUCUACAUGGCCCUGCAGUAAAGUGGCUCCCAAAGCCCCAGCACACCCAGCAGCAGAGACUACAAGCAGAAAGCAAGCAGAAAAGCAAAGCAGAAGUCUCUGUGGGUGUGAAGAAGAAGUGUAUUGAAUACUCACAGCCACGUCUGGACCGGACCUGCCCUUUCGUGCUGCCAUAGUCCGGCACUUCGGCUGAAACCUGAGCCUGGUGUCCCCUCUCUCCCUCCUUGGUUAUCUACUCCACAGCUUUGAGAGAGCCAACAGGAUAUUUAAUACCAAGCCAUCUCCGGAAAGCAAAUGACUGCUGCCAAGCGCAGGGAGGGGGUCAGAGCUGCAGGUACCACCUCACGAACAGCAGAGGAAAAGCAGCCCCACAGAUAUGCCCAGGAGCCUGGCAACUCACAGGUGGCUGCUAAAUCCUAUACACAGGCAUCAUGCUCUACAGACUUGCAGACAUCCAAGCUGUGAAGUGUCAGGAGGCUGCUGCCAGCAAUUCUGCAAGAGAGAAGCCUCAGAUCUGGACUUCAUUAAGUGCUUCAAGACCUUCUAAAGUCAAAAACAUAGCACAGUACAUCAGGCUGUGCUUUUACUCCCCUUUCUUUUUCUUCAGGAAAAUAAAAUCUCCCCUUGUCUGC